UAAGGAAUAUUGGUCAAUGGUGGGAACACUGAACCAGCCAUCCCGCGUGCAGGACGAAGGCCCUCUGGGUUGUAAACUGCUUUUGACAGGGAAGAAACGGGCGGACUUGUCUGCCCCUGACGGUACCUGUGGAAUAAGCACCGGCUAACUCCGUGCCAGCAGCCGCGGUAAUACGGAGGGUGCGAGCGUUAUCCGGAAUCACUGGGUUUAAAGGGUGCGUAGGCGGCUUGGUAAGUCAGGGGUGAAAGCUUCCCGCUCAACGGGAGAACUGCCCUUGAUACUGCCAGGCUCGAAUUGGGUUGAGGCAGGCGGAAUGUGGCAUGUAGCGGUGAAAUGCUUAGAUAUGCCAUAGAACACCGAUUGCGAAGGCAGCCUGCCAAGCCUUGAUUGACGCUGAGGC
Molecule: ribosomal RNA, 400 nt
Filed under: uncultured bacterium
Lineage: Bacteria
Description: bacterial SSU rRNA
Rfam family: Bacterial small subunit ribosomal RNA
Source: RNAcentral